Molecule: ribosomal RNA, 460 nt
Filed under: uncultured bacterium
Lineage: Bacteria
Description: bacterial SSU rRNA
Rfam family: Bacterial small subunit ribosomal RNA
Source: RNAcentral
UACGGAAGGCAGCAGUGGGGAAUAUUGGACAAUGGGCGCAAGCCUGAUCCAGCCAUGCCGCGUGUGUGAAGAAGGCCUUUUUGGUUGUAAAGCACUUUAAGCGAGGAGGAGGCUCUCUUAGUUAAUACCUAAGAUGAGUGGACGUUACUCGCAGAAUAAGCACCGGCUAACUCUGUGCCAGCAGCCGCGGUAAUACAGAGGGUGCGAGCGUUAAUCGGAUUUACUGGGCGUAAAGCGUGCGUAGGCGGCUUUUUUAAGUCGGAUGUGAAAUCCCCGAGCUUAACUUGGGAAUUGCAUUCGAUACUGGGAAGCUAGAGUAUGGGAGAGGAUGGUAGAAUUCCAGGUGUAGCGGUGAAAUGCGUAGAGAUCUGGAGGAAUACCGAUGGGCGAAGGGCAGCCAUCUGGCCUAAUACUGACGCUGAGGUACGAAAGCAUGGGGAGCAAACAGGGAUUAGAUACC